RNAcentral lists this transfer RNA (74 nucleotides) under Candidatus Altarchaeum sp. RNAcentral describes it as "tRNA-Lys". It matches the Rfam family "tRNA". Rfam says of the family: Transfer RNA (tRNA) molecules are approximately 80 nucleotides in length. The record is from RNAcentral. RNAcentral also lists the same sequence under 1 other name. Lineage: Archaea; Nanobdellati; Candidatus Altarchaeota; Candidatus Altarchaeia; Candidatus Altarchaeales; Candidatus Altarchaeaceae.
GGGCUUGUAGCUCAGUUUGGUAGAGCACCGGACUUUUAAUCCGAUGGUCGCGGGUUCAAAUCCCGUCAAGCCCG